Microcebus murinus (gray mouse lemur) is the source of this 2996-nucleotide non-coding RNA. Lineage: Eukaryota; Metazoa; Chordata; Mammalia; Primates; Cheirogaleidae. The record is from RefSeq and is a predicted model, not a curated record.
GAGCAGGGCGAAGCUCACCUCUCUGCCUGCUGUCUCCGCGGAGCAAGCGGGAACCGGAGCGGGAGCUGAGCAAAAGCAGGAGAUGACGUUGGAGAGGCAGGCAGAAGUGAGGCGCUGCACUGCCUUGAAAGCCAAGGAGAACAGAAUGGAGGGCACAAGAGUGGCUGCCAGAGACCAGUGAGGAUGCUCCAGGUCAGAGAUGACAGUGUCUUGGCCUGCUGCAGAGAAAUGGAUGGAUUCAAGAGAUGUGAGGGUGUAAAAUGAACUACAAUAGCAGAAGAUUGGAAAUAACCUUUGGUGGUGUUAACACAUGGCUGCAGAUUCUUUAUACUCCUCUGUAGAGAGAAGGGAUCUUUGUACCUUCUUUGACCUUUGUUUGAACCUUGGGCGAACUGAUGACUGCUUCGACCAACAGAGCAUGGUGGAAGUGACGCUGUGACUUCCAAGACGAGGACAUAAAAGGAUGUGCAACUUCUGCUGGCAUUCAAGCUCUGGGAGCCCUGAGGCAUCAUGCAGGAAGUCUGUCUACCUGGAGGCUGCCCCGCUGCAAGGAAGCCAAGACCACGUGGAGAGGCCAGCUGAAGGCACCACAGCCCCAGCUGAGCUUAGCCUUUGAGUCAUCCCAGUUCAGGCAUCAGACAAGUGAGUGAAGAAGCAAACAGAUGAUUCCAGUCUCCAGCCAUUCGAUUCAGCUUCAGCCUUCAAGGCUUCAGGUCUUUAAGUCUUCCACGCUGAAGAUUCAAACAUUGUAGAGCAGAGACAAGCUGGCCCCUCUACGCCCUGCCUGAAUCCCUGACACACAGAAUCCACAAGCGUAAUAAAAUGGUUGUCAUGUUAUACCACUAGGUUUGGGGGACUUUGUUAUGUGCUAACAGAUAAGUGGAACACAACUUAAAUAUCCAUCAAUAGAAGACAAGUUACACAAAUUAUAGGAUAUCUAUCCUGAGAAUACCAUGCAGCUAUCAAAAGAAGAAAUUGUUACUGAUAUGAAACAAAUUUCAAGCUCAGUGAAGAAAAAUGCAAUGUUCUGAAAAUUCUUCCAUUUUCAAUUCUCAAAAAGGAGGCACAUACAGAGAUAUUAAAACUUUUGAGAGGACAGAUAAGAAAGUUACAGUAGAUGCCUGGGGGUAGGGUGGCUGGGGGCAAGGGCGGGAAGGAAAUUCACUUCUCAGUACACCUCUGGAUUGGUUAUCUGUUGCUUUUGUAAUAAGUUGAGCAAGAGAUAAUGAAGGAUUGGAGUCAGCAGGAGAGAUGGAAAGGAGGUUGCAGGUCUGAACAACAUCCACAAAUUAAAGUUUGUAAGACUUGGUGACUGAGAAUUGCGGGCAGUGUGAGAUAGGAGGAGAGAAAAUAGAGGAUGACUGUUAAGUUUUCAGGUCAGGUGGGUAAUGCUUCCACCAACAGAGUGGAAAAUAUAAGAAGAGGAGAAGUUGAUACCCUUAGCUUUUGGCAGAGCCAAAUGGCGCUGUCCAGGAGGUCUGGAGUCAGGGGCAAGGUCUUGGCCUUAGAAACAGUAUAGGGAAUUGUACCAGUUGCAGAUGACAAAACUAAACUUGAACUUGCUUAAAUAAAGGAAAUGGAAAAACUCAGAUAAUUGAGAAGUCAAGGGACACUGGCUUCAGGAAUGGCUGGAUCCAGAUGCUAGAAAUCUCUCUCUUUAUCUCGUGGUUUGGUUCUGCUCUGCUCUCCUCUGUGUCAGGCAGACUCUCCCUGUGGUGGCAAAAUGCCCAAAUCCUUCAAAUUUAACUUUUGGAAUAAGAAUCUUUCUUUCCCUAUAGUUCCAGAAAAAUCCCUGAUGUUGAUUCUCCUUGCCCCCAGUUGGGUAAAACCUCAUUUACUGAACCCACCAGCAUGCCUCUGACUGGCUUGGUUCCUUGGUCACCCUUUGGGAGGCUUGGAGUGGUUGCCUGAGGACACUUAGUCAAGAUGUGGCAAAUCUGAAUUUGCUCUGAUAACUCUGAGGCCAUGAUCUGUAGCAACAACUGUCUACAUGGAUGUGACUUUCUUUGGUAGUGUCAGGAGCGAGAAUGAAGGAGAAAGCCACUGGCACCCCAGCUCGUAGGUUGGAGUUCCCCUGGACAAGUCAGGCAGAAAGAGGAGGUGGGGGGGCAUGCAGGAAAAAGGGAAGAGAGCAGAUCCCAUGAUGAACCUCAGGGUGGAUCCUGGCUCAAGGGGAGGUGCCAAGGCAGCCCUGGAGGGGAGCAGCUGGCUGUGGAGAUGUAGGGAUUCCAGCCUGAGAAGCUCAGUGAAGUCCAAAAAUGGAUAGGAAGGAAGGGAGUCCAAGGUCAGAGUGUGGGACCUUGGAGUGAAGCAUUUCACAUGUGGAACCUUGUAGGACAGUUGGCACCGUCCAGUAGAACUUUCUGGAAAGAUAGACAUGUUCUACAUCUGUGCUGCCAAUACAGGAGCUGCUGGCCACAGCUGGCUAUUAAGCGUUCAAAAUGUGGCUGGUGUGACCGAGGAACUGAAUGUUAAAUUUUAUUUAAUUCUAAUUACUUUAAAUUUGAGUUUAAAUAGUCACAUGCCUCUGGUGGCCACUAUGUUGGACAGUCAAGCAUCAGUUGAACAACCCUUAUUCCCAGGGACCAACUUUGGGCGUGACCACUGCCAUCUCAGAAGUCUACCAGCUACCCCAUCACCGAGCCCUUGUGCCCUGCCCCUAGGGCCUCUUCUCUACACUGCAGCCACAAUGAACUUGAAAGUGUAAGUCAGGAAGAAUUCGUGUUUGCUGGGUAGAGUUUCAGUGUCACAAGAUGAAAAAGUUCUAGAGCCUUAUUGCACAACUGUGUGAAUAUACUUUACACUACUGGACCAUACACUUAAAAUGGUUGAGAUGGUAAUUUAAUGUGUUUUUCACCACACACACAACAUAUAAGGGUAAGUCUGAUUCUCUCAUUCCUUUGCUCAAAACCCUCUAAUGACUUCUCAUCCUACUCAGGGUAAAAGAAAAGACUGUGGUGGGUGGCUCACACCUGUAAUCCUAGCACUCUGGGAGA